UUCCGUUAACGAACGAGACCUUAACCUGCUAAAUAGCUAGGCUUAGCAUUGCUAGGUCGCCAGCUUCUUAGAGGGACUAUCGGUGUUUAACCGAUGGAAGUUUGAGGCAAUAACAGGUCUGUGAUGCCCUUAGAUGUUCUGGGCCGCACGCGCGCUACACCGAUGAAGUCAACGAGUUCAUAUCCUUUGUCGGAAGACAUGGGUAAUCUUUUGAAACUUCAUCGUGCCGGGGAUAGAGCUUUGCAAUUAUUGCUCUUGAACGAGGAAUCCCUAGUAAGCACAAGUCAUCAGCUUGUGCUGAUUACGUCCCUGCCCUUUGUACACACCGCCCGUCGCUACUACCGAUUGAAUGGCUUAGUGAGGCCCUCGGAUUGGAUUCGGGGACUGGAAACAGACUCCAUUUUUGAAAAGUUGGUCAAACUUGGUCAUUUAGAGGAAGUAAAAG
Molecule: ribosomal RNA, 445 nt
Filed under: Glomus arbuscular mycorrhizal symbiont of Voyria tenuiflora
Lineage: Eukaryota; Fungi; Glomeromycota; Glomeromycetes; Glomerales; Glomeraceae
Description: SSU rRNA
Rfam family: Eukaryotic small subunit ribosomal RNA
Source: RNAcentral